UACGUAGGGGGCAAGCGUUGUCCGGAUUCAUUGGGCGUAAAGAGCGUGUAGGCGGCCAGGUAGGUCGGUUGUGAAAACUGGAGGCUCAACCUUCAGAGGUCGACCGAAACCAUGUGGCUAGAGUCCGGAAGAGGAGAGUGGAAUUCCUGGUGUAGCGGUGAAAUGCGCAGAUAUCAGGAAGAACACCCGUGGCUAAGGCGGCUCUCUAGUACGGUACUGACGCUGAGACGCGAAAGCGUGGGGAGCGAACAGG
This 253-nucleotide ribosomal RNA is filed under the name uncultured bacterium. RNAcentral describes it as "partial 16S ribosomal RNA". It matches the Rfam family "Bacterial small subunit ribosomal RNA", at positions 524 to 776 of the family's 1533-position model. The record is from RNAcentral.